GAGUCAUUGGGACUUUGAUAAACCUAAAGGCGCAAUGAAAGUAAAGGUCCGCCUCGCGCGGACCGAGGGAGGAUGGGCCCGUCCACGGGCGGGCCCCGCACUCCCGGGGCGUCUCGUUCUCAUCGCGAGAAGAGGCGCACCCAGAGCGUACACGCUGGGACCCGAAAGAUGGUGAACUAUGCCUGGUCAGGACGAAGUCAGGGGAAACCCUGAUGGAGGUCCGUAGCGAUUCUGACGUGCAAAUCGAUCGUCGGAACUGGGUAUAGGGGCGAAAGACUAAUCGAACCUUCUAGUAGCUGGUUCCCUCCGAAGUUUCCCUCAGGAUAGCUGGCGCUCGCCUUUGCGAGUCUCAUUCGGUAAAGCGAAUGAUUAGAGGCAUUGGGGUCGAAACGGCCUCAACCUAUUCUCAAACUUUAAAUGGGUGAGAUCUCCGGCUUGCUUGAAGCAUGAAGCCGCGAGAGAUCGGAUCGAAGAGUGCCAAGUGGGCCACUUUUGGUAAGCAGAAC
Molecule: ribosomal RNA, 506 nt
Filed under: Arachnodes splendidus
Lineage: Eukaryota; Metazoa; Arthropoda; Insecta; Coleoptera; Scarabaeidae
Description: eukaryotic LSU rRNA
Rfam family: Eukaryotic large subunit ribosomal RNA
Source: RNAcentral